This 239-nucleotide ribosomal RNA is filed under the name Methylobacterium radiotolerans. Its description in RNAcentral is "partial 16S ribosomal RNA". It matches the Rfam family "Bacterial small subunit ribosomal RNA", at positions 1 to 266 of the family's 1533-position model. The record is from RNAcentral. Lineage: Bacteria; Pseudomonadati; Pseudomonadota; Alphaproteobacteria; Hyphomicrobiales; Methylobacteriaceae.
UUCAACGUGAGAGUUUGAUCCUGGCUCAGAGCGAACGCUGGCGGCAGGCUUAACACAUGCAAGUCGAGCGGGCCCUUCGGGGUCAGCGGCGGACGGGUGAGUAACGCGUGGGAACGUGCCUUCUGGUUCGGAAUAACCCUGGGAAACUAGGGCUAAUACCGGAUACGCCCUUUUGGGGAAAGGUUUACUGCCGGAAGAUCGGCCCGCGUCUGAUUAGCUAGUUGGUGGGGUAACGGCCU